AUUAUAGACUACUAGUAUAAUUUCUUCCUCAUGUAAUUGGUGGAGUUCAUCAGUAAACCCAUCCAGAUGUGGUGUUUUCUGUUUUGGAAGGUUGGAAUGUCCCUGGUGGAGGGUUCCACAUUCACGUGCAGUGUGGGGAGCAUGAGAGAUGGAUCUGCAGCUCCGGAGUCGGAGAAGGUUGCUGUAGCUUGUGCCCACUCUCCUCAAAACCAGCCUGGACCUGGAGUACAGCCUUUUACUCUCUUCAGACCCACCAUGCCUCUUUUCCUCAUCUUUUGCUUGUCCUAAAAUCCUUUGAGUGUCC
Molecule: long non-coding RNA, 304 nt
Filed under: Mustela putorius furo (domestic ferret)
Lineage: Eukaryota; Metazoa; Chordata; Mammalia; Carnivora; Mustelidae
Description: lncRNA (ENSMPUG00000026650.1)
Source: RNAcentral